RNAcentral lists this ribosomal RNA (248 nucleotides) under uncultured anaerobic ammonium-oxidizing bacterium. RNAcentral's name for it is "partial 16S ribosomal RNA". It matches the Rfam family "Bacterial small subunit ribosomal RNA", at positions 434 to 674 of the family's 1533-position model. The record is from RNAcentral.
GUCGGGAGUUAGGAAAUGCAGGUGCGUUAAUAGCGCACUUGCUUGACUAAGGCUCCAGAGGAAGCCACGGCUAACUCUGUGCCAGCAGCCGCGGUAAUACAGAGGCGGCAAGCGUUGUUCGGAAUUAUUGGGCGUAAAGAGCACGUAGGCGGCUGUGUAAGUCGGUUGUGAAAGCCUUCCGCUCAACGGAAGAACGGCAUCCGAUACUGCAUGGCUUGAGUGUGGGAGGGGAGAGUGGAACUUCUGGU